This 84-nucleotide ribosomal RNA is filed under the name Citrobacter freundii. RNAcentral describes it as "partial 16S ribosomal RNA". It matches the Rfam family "Bacterial small subunit ribosomal RNA", at positions 1450 to 1533 of the family's 1533-position model. RNAcentral also lists the same sequence under 40 other names. The record is from RNAcentral. Lineage: Bacteria; Pseudomonadati; Pseudomonadota; Gammaproteobacteria; Enterobacterales; Enterobacteriaceae.
GCGCUUACCACUUUGUGAUUCAUGACUGGGGUGAAGUCGUAACAAGGUAACCGUAGGGGAACCUGCGGUUGGAUCACCUCCUUA